This 254-nucleotide unclassified non-coding RNA is filed under the name Hevea brasiliensis (rubber tree). The record is from RNAcentral. Lineage: Eukaryota; Viridiplantae; Streptophyta; Magnoliopsida; Malpighiales; Euphorbiaceae.
AUUUAAUCUGAUUUCUUUUCUUUCACAUCAACUGCAAAGCAAUAUGAAGGCUUUGAAGAUGUCACAUUUUGGAGGAUUGAAAUGAUGGAAAAAGAUAACAAAAUAAGGUGAUUUAAAAGUAGGUUGGUCUAUUACAUGGUUUGAAUAGAAGAUUACGAUUUUUUGGAAGAAAGAUGUGAUUCAAGUCAGAUUGGACUUUGAAAACAAAAAUUUGGAGAUAGUCCUAAACUUCAACAUGAUCAAGGGAUGGGAAA